RNAcentral lists this ribosomal RNA (462 nucleotides) under uncultured cyanobacterium. RNAcentral describes it as "bacterial SSU rRNA". It matches the Rfam family "Bacterial small subunit ribosomal RNA", at positions 70 to 561 of the family's 1533-position model. The record is from RNAcentral. Lineage: Bacteria; Bacillati; Cyanobacteriota.
AUCAGAUAGCUUGCUAACUGGUCCUAUUGGCGGACGGGUGAGUAACGCGUAAGAAUCUGCCCCUAGGAGAGGGAUACCAACUGGAAACGGUUGUUAAUACCUCAUAUGCUGAGGAGUAAAAUGGUUUCAUACCGCCUAGGGAUGAGCUUGCGUCUGAUUAGCUAGUUGGUGGGGUAAUGGCCUACCGAGGCAAUGAUCAGUAGCUGGUCUGAGAGGACAAUCAGCCACACUGGGACUGAGACACGGCCCAGACUCCUACGGGAGGCAGCAGUGAGGAAUUUUCCGCAAUGGGCGAAAGCCUGACGGAGCAAUGCCGCGUGGAGGAAGACGGCCCGUGGGUUGUAAACUCCUUUUCUUGGAGAAGAAUAACUGACGGUAUCCAAGGAGUAAGCAUCGGCUAACUCCGUGCCAGCAGCCGCGGUAAUACGGAGGAUGCAAGCGUUAUCCGGAUUCAUUGGGCGU